RNAcentral lists this ribosomal RNA (611 nucleotides) under uncultured bacterium. RNAcentral's name for it is "bacterial SSU rRNA". It matches the Rfam family "Bacterial small subunit ribosomal RNA", at positions 91 to 735 of the family's 1533-position model. The record is from RNAcentral.
CUUAGUGGCGGACGGGUGAGUAACGCGUGGGAACUUGCCCAGGAGCGGGGAAUAACCUCGGGAAACUGAGGCUAAUACCGCAUACGCCCUCCGGGGGAAAGGCUUCGGCCACUCUUGGAUGGUCCCGCGUCUGAUUAGCUUGUUGGUGAGGUAACGGCUCACCAAGGCGACGAUCAGUAGCUGGUCUGAGAGGAUGACCAGUCACACUGGGACUGAGACACGGCCCAGACUCCUACGGGAGGCAGCAGUGGGGAAUAUUGGACAAUGGGGGAAACCCUGAUCCAGCAAUGCCGCGUGAGUGAAGAAGGCCCUAGGGUUGUAAAACUCUUUCAGUCGUGACGAUGAUGACGGUAGCGACAGAAGAAGCCCCGGCUAACUCCGUGCCAGCAGCCGCGGUAAUACGGAGGGGGCUAGCGUUGUUCGGAAUUACUGGGCGUAAAGCGCACGUAGGCGGUACAUCAAGUUAGGCGUGAAAGCCCUGGGCUCAACCCAGGAACUGCGCUUAUUACUGAUGAACUAGAGAGCGGGAGAGGGUAGCGGAAUUCCCAGUGUAGAGGUGAAAUUCGUAGAUAUUGGGAAGAACACCAGUUGCGAAGGCGGCUACCUGGACC